This 127-nucleotide small RNA is filed under the name Marmota monax (woodchuck). Lineage: Eukaryota; Metazoa; Chordata; Mammalia; Rodentia; Sciuridae. The record is from RNAcentral.
GCUGGGCAUGGUGGUGCAUGCCUGUAAUCACAGUAGCUCAGGAGGCUGAGGUAGAAGCAUCGCACGAGUUCAAAGUCAGCCUCGGCAAAAGCAAGGCACUAAGCAACUCAGUGAGACCCUGUCUCUA